GACGAACGCUGGCGGCGUGCUUAACACAUGCAAGUCGAACGGAAAGGCCUGCUUUCCCUUGUGGAUUGCGGGUACUCGAGUGGCGAACGGGUGAGUAACACGUGAGUGAUCUGCCCCCAACUUGGGUAUAAGCCUGGGAAACUGGGUCUAAUUCCCGAUAGGACUGCAGGGUGGUGCCUGUGGUGGAAAACGAUUUUCUAGUGGUUGGUGAUGAGCUCGCGGCCUAUCAGCUUGUUGGUGGGGUAAUGGCCUACCAAGGCGGCGACGGGUAGCCGGACUGAGAGAGUGGACGGCAACAUUGGGACUGAGAUACGGCCCAGACUACUACGGGAGGCAGCAGUGGGGAAUCAUGCACGAUGGGCGGAAGCCUGAUGCAGGGACGCCGCGUGGGGGAUGACGGGUUUCGGGUGGUAACCUCCUUUCGAUCGCGAGGAAGCCUCCUGGUUGGAAGGGUGGUGACGGUAGUGGUAGAAGAAGCACCGGCUAACUACGUG
Molecule: ribosomal RNA, 494 nt
Filed under: uncultured bacterium
Lineage: Bacteria
Description: partial 16S ribosomal RNA
Rfam family: Bacterial small subunit ribosomal RNA
Source: RNAcentral